This 463-nucleotide ribosomal RNA is filed under the name uncultured bacterium. Its description in RNAcentral is "bacterial SSU rRNA". It matches the Rfam family "Bacterial small subunit ribosomal RNA", at positions 28 to 489 of the family's 1533-position model. The record is from RNAcentral.
GAUGAACGCUGGCGGCGUGCUUAACACAUGCAAGUCGAGCGAAGCAGUUAAGUUGAUUUCUUCGGAUUGAUUCUUGACUGACUGAGCGGCGGACGGGUGAGUAACGCGUGGGUGACCUGCCCCAUACCGGGGGAUAACAGCUGGAAACGGCUGCUAAUACCGCAUAAGCGCACAGAGCUGCAUGGCUCAGUGUGAAAAACUCCGGUGGUAUGGGAUGGGCCCGCGUCUGAUUAGGCAGUUGGCGGGGUAACGGCCCACCAAACCGACGAUCAGUAGCCGGCCUGAGAGGGCGACCGGGCCACAUUGGGACUGAGACACGGGCCCAAACUCCUACGGGAGGCAGCAGUGGGGAAUAUUGCACAAUGGGGGAAACCCUGAUGCAGCGACGCCGCGUGAGCGAAGAGUAUUCGGUAUGUAAAGCUCUAUCAGCAGGGAAGAUAAUGACGGUACCUGAACUAAAGAA